GACGAACGCUGGCGGCGUGCUUAACACAUGCAAGUCGAACGGAAAGGCCCUGCUUGCAGGGUACUCGAGUGGCGAACGGGUGAGUAACACGUGGGUGAUCUGCCCUGCACUUCGGGAUAAGCCUGGGAAACUGGGUCUAAUACCGGAUAGGAGCCAUUUUUAGUGUGAUGGUUGGAAAGUUUUUUCGGUGUAGGAUGAGCUCGCGGCCUAUCAGCUUGUUGGUGGGGUAAUGGCCUACCAAGGCGGCGACGGGUAGCCGGCCUGAGAGGGUGGACGGCCACAUUGGGACUGAGAUACGGCCCAGACUCCUACGGGAGGCAGCAGUGGGGAAUAUUGCACAAUGGGCGCAAGCCUGAUGCAGCGACGCCGCGUGGGGGAUGACGGCCUUCGGGUUGUAAACUCCUUUCGCUAGGGACGAAGCUUUUUGUGACGGUACCUAGAUAAGAAGCACCGGCUAACUACGG
Molecule: ribosomal RNA, 464 nt
Filed under: uncultured bacterium
Lineage: Bacteria
Description: partial 16S ribosomal RNA
Rfam family: Bacterial small subunit ribosomal RNA
Source: RNAcentral